This 72-nucleotide transfer RNA is filed under the name Camelus bactrianus (Bactrian camel). It matches the Rfam family "tRNA". Rfam says of the family: Transfer RNA (tRNA) molecules are approximately 80 nucleotides in length. Their secondary structure includes four short double-helical elements and three loops (D, anti-codon, and T loops). Lineage: Eukaryota; Metazoa; Chordata; Mammalia; Artiodactyla; Camelidae. RNAcentral also lists the same sequence under 1 other name. The record is from Rfam by way of RNAcentral.
GAGGGUAUAGCUCAGUGGUAGAGCACAUGCUUAGCAUACACAAGGUCCUGGGUUCAAUCCCCAGUACCUCCC